UCCUACGGGGCGCAGCAGUGGGGAAUAUUGCACAAUGGGGGAAACCCUGAUGCAGCGACGCCGCGUGAGUGAAGAAGUAUCUCGGUACGUAAAGCUCUAUCAGCAAGGAAGAAAAUGACGGUACCUGACCAAGAAGCCCCGGCUAACUACGUGCCAGCAGCCGCGGUAAUACGUAGGGGGCAAGCGUUAUCCGGAUUUACUGGGUGUAAAGGGAGCGUAGACGGCAGGGCAAGUCUGGAGUGAAAGCCCGGGGCCCAACCCCGGGACUGCUUUGGAAACUGCCAUGCUAGAGUGCUGGAGAGGUA
RNAcentral lists this ribosomal RNA (305 nucleotides) under uncultured bacterium. RNAcentral's name for it is "bacterial SSU rRNA". It matches the Rfam family "Bacterial small subunit ribosomal RNA", at positions 337 to 659 of the family's 1533-position model. The record is from RNAcentral.